UACGGAGGGUGCAAGCGUUACUCGGAAUCACUGGGCGUAAAGCGCGCGCAGGCGGCUAUUUAAGUUGGAUGUGAAAGCCUACGGCUCAACCGUAGAACUGCAUCCAAAACUAUUUAGCUAGAGUGUGGGAGAGGAAGAUGGAAUUAGUUGUGUAGGGGUAAAAUCCGUAGAGAUAACUAGGAAUACCAAAAGCGAAGGCAAUCUUCUGGAACACUACUGACGCUGAGGCGCGAAAGCGUGGGGAGCAAACAGGAUUAGAAACCCGAGUAGUCC
RNAcentral lists this ribosomal RNA (273 nucleotides) under uncultured bacterium. Its description in RNAcentral is "partial 16S ribosomal RNA". It matches the Rfam family "Bacterial small subunit ribosomal RNA", at positions 524 to 796 of the family's 1533-position model. The record is from RNAcentral.